This 275-nucleotide ribosomal RNA is filed under the name uncultured bacterium. RNAcentral's name for it is "partial 16S ribosomal RNA". It matches the Rfam family "Bacterial small subunit ribosomal RNA", at positions 338 to 611 of the family's 1533-position model. The record is from RNAcentral.
CCUACGGGUGGCUGCAGUAGGGAAUAUUGGGCAAUGGAGGCAACUCUGACCCAGCCAUGCCGCGUGAAGGAAGAAGGCGUUAUGCGUUGUAAACUUCUUUUGAUUGGGAAGAAACGACUCUUGCGAGAGGCAUUGACGGUACCAAUCGAAUAAGCACCGGCUAACUCCGUGCCAGCAGCCGCGGUAAUACGGAGGGUGCAAGCGUUGUCCGGAUUUAUUGGGUUUAAAGGGUGCGUAGGCGGCUUAUUAAGUCAGCGGUGAAAGACCGGAGCUCA